GCUCAGGACGAACGCUGGCGGCGUGCUUAACACAUGCAAGUCGAACGGAGAACUUAUUUCGGUAAGUUCUUAGUGGCGAACGGGUGAGUAACGCGUGGGCAACCUGCCCUCCAGUUGGGGACAACAUUCCGAAAGGGAUGCUAAUACCGAAUGUGCUCCCUCCUCCGCAUGGAGGAGGGAGGAAAGAUGGCCUCUGCUUGCAAGCUAUCGCUGGGAGAUGGGCCCGCGUCUGAUUAGCUAGUUGGUGGGGUAACGGCUCACCAAGGCGAUGAUCAGUAGCCGGUCUGAGAGGAUGAACGGCCACAUUGGGACUGAGACACGGCCCAAACUCCUACGGGAGGCAGCAGUA
RNAcentral lists this ribosomal RNA (349 nucleotides) under uncultured bacterium. Its description in RNAcentral is "bacterial SSU rRNA". It matches the Rfam family "Bacterial small subunit ribosomal RNA", at positions 22 to 356 of the family's 1533-position model. The record is from RNAcentral.